CUCGUCUUCCUGCAUUGGUUCUCCCUGAUCUAGAGCCUUAUAUUUAUAAAUUGCCAUUAUCUGUGCAGCAGCCUUCCUCUCUGCUAUAUUUUCUAUCAGGCUUUGCACAGACCUAACUACUAAGGGUAUAAGACACGGCAGGAGUAGACACAACAUUAAAAUCAGUAGGACUCCACCUACCACUGCCUUAAGCCCUCCAGACCACUCAUACCAGCUACCAAACCAACUACUUGGAUUGUACCCUUUCCAUACCUGAGUAGGCACAUGCGCUAGUUUAACCAUAUGGCUAGUAAGCUCAGCUAUUGCUUGCCCUUCGUCAUCUAUUUGAAGACAGCAAUUGCUCAGGUUAAACUUCCCACAUACACCUCCCUCUACUGCCAAAAGAUAAUCCAAGGCUAAUCUAUU
Non-coding RNA from Pelobates cultripes (western spadefoot toad), 405 nucleotides. NCBI's taxonomy places the organism in Eukaryota, Metazoa, Chordata, Amphibia, Anura, Pelobatidae. The record is from the annotation of a GenBank genome assembly.